CUGGAAUUGCUAGUAAUGGCAGGUCAGCAUACUGCCGUGAAUACGUUCCCGGGCCUUGUACACACCGCCCGUCACACCAUGAGAGUUGGGAAUACCCGAAGCCUGUGAGCUAACUUAUAGAGGCAGCAGUCGAAGGUAGAAUCAAUGAUUGGGGUGAAGUCGUAACAAGGUAAC
RNAcentral lists this ribosomal RNA (174 nucleotides) under uncultured bacterium. RNAcentral describes it as "partial 16S ribosomal RNA". It matches the Rfam family "Bacterial small subunit ribosomal RNA", at positions 1326 to 1500 of the family's 1533-position model. The record is from RNAcentral.